This 1258-nucleotide long non-coding RNA is filed under the name Bemisia tabaci. RNAcentral describes it as "lncRNA ENSSSA1UGG010146". Lineage: Eukaryota; Metazoa; Arthropoda; Insecta; Hemiptera; Aleyrodidae. The record is from RNAcentral.
UUGACUCGGCUAUUCUUCCAUGCUAAGGAAGAACGCCGUUUGAGCCUUCAGACAUGGCCUUCUUUCUGUCAAUAAAAUACUAAUUCACUGAGGAAAUUGUUGAUUGUUUGUGAAUGUUUAUCUUUUCAUGUUUCAGGCAGUAAUUUGUUGGCGUUUAAUCUAAAAUUUUUGUAAAUUUCAAGGAUAUAUGAAUCAAUUUCCUCAAAAAUACCUCCUUUACCCGGGAGAAUUUGGCAGCCUGCGAGGGUUCUUACGGCGUUCUUUCUUAGCACGUCAGCUUUGCGGCCUUUGUCAUGGUGUUUGGGAGAAGUUUAACCUCCGACAUGACAGGAAAAGUUUCCAAUUCCAAGUUUUGAUUUUCACUCCAAUUUUGUGGGAUUUCGAGCUCCGUAUGCUUCAUGGACGUGUCACCUAAACUAUACGAUAACUAUUAACCCUCAAAACUCUUCGGGUGUCAUUCAGCACUAAAAGGUGAGUUUAGUUGUUAAUUGAAUACAUUCUAAUGCUCAUUGGCUGAUUGAUUAGCUUUUAAUUUAAUUUAAAUUACUGACCAAUCUUCUCAACUAAAUCUUUUAUUUUAAUUGUCAUGGUAACUCGUGUGUUGCUUCCAGAAUAUGUUCUUCGGUCGAUAAAUUGGUGAAAUUGCGAAGUCCGUGGCAACUCCGCUUCAGGGGGAGUAAUUGAACGGUUGAUGCCUGUGCGUCGCAUCAAUAACAGCGUCCAAAAUUGGGUCAAAGUAGGCUGAUGAAAAAUUGAUGCUCUGGAAUUAAAGGUGUAAUGAAUUACAUACGGAUAAUCUCUUUGUUUUUGUGUAUGCUUUGGAUUUAAGCUGGGCAAUUUAUGACGUAAUGCUGAUCAAAGGCCCGCCUUUGUGUUUUUGUGCAGACUGCACGAGCCAAAAAAUGUUGAUAUAUGCUGAAAAUUUUCUCAUUUCAUCUUUCUAUUCAAGCACCACAUAUUUUAAUUUCAAGAGUCCAGGUUGCACGCGUGUGUCCAAUGACAAUUUUUUCAAUCUGGCAACGUGUUGUUUUUUUUCCCGUUGAAUUUUUUUUAAAUAUUGAAUUGAAAUAUCAAUAAAAUUGAUUGUUUUCCAUACUUUAAAAGCAACGAAAUCCAGCGCAGCGGUGCCAAUUUCGAGGUUUACCACGGCAUAGGUCGCAGUUAAAAAGUAAAAUCAGAUAUUUUGUCCAAAGAACUGGCAGUCGGUUUAAAUUUGAAGAGUAACGUAGUUUUUCAUAGUUUUGACGCAGAGCUUUCA